This is a long non-coding RNA of Pogona vitticeps (central bearded dragon), 1633 nucleotides long. Ensembl lists it as uncharacterized. The record is from Ensembl. Lineage: Eukaryota; Metazoa; Chordata; Lepidosauria; Squamata; Agamidae.
GGUUGCGUGCAGCUUGAGCUCAGAGCUGUCCCCACCCUCUUGGGGACACCAGCAGAGCCGCGAGAACGUCUGCAAACUUCGGAUGAGGCUACAAAACAAAAACCGAAUAGAGCCGAGUCAAGCCAUCAGUGGAUUCUCUUUAUUUCCCCGACGGAUCACAGGGAUGUCUUUCUCCAGGCGUUGUCUCACCAAGUCGCUGAAGAACUGAACAUCCUGGGCAGAAACCGUUGUCCAUGGCUCCAGCUUUUGCAGAAUGGACAUCCGCUGGCUUCUUUCCGGCCAUCUUUGCUGUGUCCCUCUUUGCAGCCGCUUGUUUCCUGGCUCUGUGCGCUUCCUGCAAAAGGUAAGGUGCCUGAGAAUCCCACCCCACUGGAAUGUGAACAUUUAGGUACAAUAUUCAUGCAUGCUUUUUUCCUAAUGUACACAAAAGUUCUUUUUGCAACCAAUUUCUCUUUAAGCAAUGCAUUUGUCUGUGUCACAUAUUGUGUGUUUACUGUAUAUGUAUCACCUUUGUAUGACUCCAACAACCUACAGAGCUUGAGGUGUCCUCUCCGCCCCCCUGCAGCCGCUUUCUCCUCACAACAAACUUUCGCGGUAGGCCAGAGUGAGGCGGGGGGAAGUGGGUUAGCCUGAGGCCACCAAGUGCGUUCCGAUACUGAGUGAGGAUUUCAACCCCUGUGUGAGGAGCUGUGGCCGUUCCCUCCACAAUGAGACCGUACGUACUGGUAUAACACCACUUUUAUUGUACACACACAAAGAUCCGAUACUGAGUGAGGAUUUCAACUCCUGUGUGAGCAGCCGUGGCCGCUCCCUCCACAAGGAGACUAUGUACUGGUAGAACACCACUUUUAUUGUACACACACAAAGAGCGUCACAAUGUCACAACAGUUCUUGUGGCCCAAGGCUUGUCUUUGCCCGUGAAUUUGGGAGUUGUAGUUCCUCAUCGGCGCAGGACCUCUGGGCUGACCGAACGGAAAGUCUCUAUCAGAAACCACCCCCCGCAGGUGUGAUGGACUCCCAUCCUGAGAUGACUCAGGUCCCUCCGAAGGAGGAGCUGGAAAAAGUCCAGGUGAACUCAGGCCCCCUCCCCAGGCGGCCAAGAGUCCACUCCCUGCGUCUUGCCCCAGAGCCUCUGGUCACAGUUCCAGCAUGAAGCGACUUCCUUAGUUCCCCCAGAAGUUACUUCACUCCUUAGGCUAGUGGUCCCCCAACCUUGGGCCUCCAGAUGUUCUUAGACUACAGCUUCCAGAAGCCUUCACCACCACCUCUUCUGGCCAGGAUUUCUGGGAGCAGAAGUCCAAGAACAUCUGGAGGCCCAAGGUUUGGGGAACCCCUGCCUUAGGCGGUUGAGUGUGGCUUGCAAAGAACGCCCAUCCAGCCAAACUGCCGAAUCCCCAACAGGGAGAAGUCUCUCCCCGUUCCCCUGCUUCUCCCUCUAGCCCUCGGUGCCUAAGCCGGGCAGGUGUCAGGCUCAAUGUCAGAAAGAAACAGAAGGAGAGGAGGGAAGGCAAGGUGGGUGGAAGUCCCUCCAGCGGUCGGGAGUUUCCCUGAACUUGCAACCAAUCUGCCUCCCACCCCUCGUGUCCUGGUCUCAUCCUGAUCACUUCUGCAGGGCAACACUACCUCCAUGACC